This 607-nucleotide long non-coding RNA is filed under the name Homo sapiens (human). Its description in RNAcentral is "HSALNT0307911". Lineage: Eukaryota; Metazoa; Chordata; Mammalia; Primates; Hominidae. The record is from RNAcentral.
CCGCUGAAAUGAUAGUUAAGGAAUCAUAAAGGUAUAAUUCCACAAAGACAAAGAAAAAAGAAAAAAGGUCUAUCAGUGGGUGAGAAAGUUCACAUUUCCUGAUGAUAUAAAGUAGAUGGAGGUGUAGCAAUUGACUUUGCACAACAGAAGGGGCCAGAAUAAGUUAUCCUGAUGAGAAGAAAGACAAUACACCCUGAAAAUCCUAGAAAGCAUUAACCCUUGAAGGCAUCAAGUACCGGAAGACAGGGAAUCUAGCGCUUCAGGAUUAUGUGCACUCUUGCUAAUCCAAGUGUUAUCCCUGAACCAGCAGCAUCAGCAUCACCAGAGAACUUGCUGGAAAUGCAGAAUAUCAGACUCUACCCCAGACCUACUUAAUCAGAGAAGCCCAGAGAGAUUCAUAUGCACAUUAAAGUUGGAGAAGUCCCAUACUCAUAUACUAGCAUAAACAGAGUAUCCUCAAACUCAUAACAAAGAAACCUACAAAACAUGAAGUACUGUCCUUUCAAUUUAGGGGCAGAGGAUUGGACAUUUUAUUUUAUUUUUUUAUGGGGGAAUACAGCUAAAACUGAAUUGCUUCAAUAAAGUCUUUGACAAUUUAAAAGCUGAA